GAUUACUAGCGAUUCCGACUUCAUGGAGUCGAGUUGCAGACUCCAAUCCGGACUACGACGCACUUUAUGAGGUCCGCUUGCUCUCGCGAGGUCGCUUCUCUUUGUAUGCGCCAUUGUAGCACGUGUGUAGCCCUGGUCGUAAGGGCCAUGAUGACUUGACGUCAUCCCCACCUUCCUCCAGUUUAUCACUGGCAGUCUCCUUUGAGUUCCCGACCUAAUCGCUGGCAACAAAGGAUAAGGGUUGCGCUCGUUGCGGGACUUAACCCAACAUUUCACAACACGAGCUGACGACAGCCAUGCAGCACCUGUCUCACGGUUCCCGAAGGCACAUUCUCAUCUCUGAAAACUUCCGUGGAUGUCAAGACCAGGUAAGGUUCUUCGCGUUGCAUCGAAUUAAACCACAUGCUCCACCGCUUGUGCGGGCCCCCGUCAAUUCAUUUGAGUUUUAACCUUGCGGCCGUACUCCCCAGGCGGUCUACUUAACGCAGACCGCCUGGGGAGUACGGCCGCAAGGUUAAAACUCAAAUGAAUUGACGGGGGCCCGCACAAGCGGUGUAGCAUGUGGUUUAAUUCGAUGCAACGCGAAGAACCUUACCUGGUCUUGACAUCCACGGAAGUUUUCAGAGA
RNAcentral lists this ribosomal RNA (627 nucleotides) under Salmonella enterica subsp. enterica serovar Derby. The stretch from base 495 to 627 matches the Rfam family "Bacterial small subunit ribosomal RNA", at positions 874 to 1006 of the family's 1533-position model. Lineage: Bacteria; Pseudomonadati; Pseudomonadota; Gammaproteobacteria; Enterobacterales; Enterobacteriaceae. The record is from RNAcentral.